GAACAGUCUUAUGCAGUGACUUCAGAUUUAACAUCUCUUUCGUGGCAUUAAAUAAUGACCAUUUUCCAGGGAAAAGAGAGGAGUUCACUGAUGUGGUCAGAAUCUAUUGUUGCUGGAAUGUGAUUUCAGCUCUUGAAAACAGACACAGGGUUUGCAUGUGUGGUACUGUUUCUUACCCAAAACCUCAUUUGCCAGAGAGGAAUGAAUUGAAGUCUACUGGGACCCCAAGACAGGCUAAUAGAAACUGUGUUUUUGCCAGUUUCAGCCCUGAGUACAAGGUUCUGUUACAGGAUUUUUGUUUCCUUCAUCCUGAUGACAGUUUGCUCAUUCUCUAACUGGAAAAAAAUAUUGCAGGAAAAGUUAAGUGUUCAAGAGCUCCUUGCCUCCUUAUUAUUCUCUCCUCAAGUAAGAGCAACGUUCUCUUUAAGUUGCUCUCUUUGUGUUUAAAUCAAAUUUAUCUGAACCUGAUGACUUCCACAUAUUUCUUAUGCUUCUUCCUAAUCUUGUUUACUUGUCUAGGAACCCAGAUUACAGUUUGGCUUGCCUGGGGUUUCUGCAAACAACGCCAGUAUCAGAAGCUGGAGAUGUUGGGUGUGAACAGUCCUGUGAACUCCAAUCCAUCUUGCUACUUCUACUCCAUCUCUUGUGUAGUCAAAGGAAAUAAUCCUUUAUCAGCAGAUGUGGAAGCCCUCAGACAGCCAUCACGCCUCUAAAACAGGACAAAGAGCACAAAAUCAAGGAGUGCUUUCGUGCUGCUGUGUUUUGAAGAAUGAUGUGCUGCAAUGAAUAUAUUUUUCCUGAUUGAUGUGAAAGAUAUAAAAAAAGCUGCUUUUAAAGAUCAUGCUCGUGAAUUGAUCUCAGGAAGAAUGAUUCUCCUAGAAAUAACCUUUCCUAAGUCUGAAAAAAUACUGUUCCAGAAGUAACUACAGACAUGUUUGAAUGGGAUUCUCAGAAUGAGAUUAUUCCUCAGUGCAGAUCUUCUCACCAGUGCCUGUUACAGAAUCACAGAAUCACAGAAUCACAGAAUCGUUUAGGUUGGAAGGGACCUCUGGAGAUCAUCUAGUCCAACCUCCCUGCUCAAGCAGGGUCACCUAGAGCAUAUUGCCCAGGAUCACAUCCAGGCGGCUUUUGAAUAUCUCCAGGGAAGGAGACUCCACCACCUCUCUGGGCAACCUGUUCCAAUGCUCUGUCACCCUCACAGUGAAGAAGUUUUUUCUCAGGUUCAGAUGGAACUUCCUGUGGUUCAGUUUCUGCCCAUUACCUCUUGUCCUGUUGCUGGGCACCACGGAGAAGAGGCUGGCCUCAUCCUCUUGACACUCCCCCUUCAGAUACUUGUACACGUUGAUGAGAUCCCCUCUCAAUCUUCUCUUCUCCAGAAGAGAAGAUGUGAACAUUGUAUGUUCACCAUACAAUGAACCUUUUGAGAGAUGCAAUUAGAAU
RNAcentral lists this long non-coding RNA (1440 nucleotides) under Struthio camelus australis. Its description in RNAcentral is "lncRNA (ENSSCUG00000004967.1)". The record is from RNAcentral. Lineage: Eukaryota; Metazoa; Chordata; Aves; Struthioniformes; Struthionidae.